UGGCUGUAGGGACCUAUCCUCUAUGACUAUCAUUUGGCUUUAGUUUAAUUCUUAGAGACUGCUACUAUGUACCUACUACUAGCAGAAAUUUAAUUUCUGUUUCUUAUUUAGCAUAGGACAACUAUGUAAUUAGUUUUCAUAGGACUAUUAUACCAUUUAUUUUAGAACUAAAAUAGUUGAAAGUAGUUUCUUAAUAAAUAGUCUC
RNAcentral lists this long non-coding RNA (205 nucleotides) under Elaeis guineensis (African oil palm). RNAcentral describes it as "long non-coding RNA (EGUI_LNC073877)". Lineage: Eukaryota; Viridiplantae; Streptophyta; Magnoliopsida; Arecales; Arecaceae. The record is from RNAcentral.